AAAUAGGUUUUAUUCAAAACCAAAAAGGCAAUGAGUAAGUUGGAA
Molecule: non-coding RNA, 45 nt
Organism: Sus scrofa (pig)
Lineage: Eukaryota; Metazoa; Chordata; Mammalia; Artiodactyla; Suidae
Source: Rfam